This 73-nucleotide transfer RNA is filed under the name Cordylochernes scorpioides. Its description in RNAcentral is "tRNA-Thr". The record is from RNAcentral. Lineage: Eukaryota; Metazoa; Arthropoda; Arachnida; Pseudoscorpiones; Chernetidae.
GUCCAGGGAUGGGAAUCGAACCCGCAAUGUUCCGCUUACCGGGCAGAUGCCAUGUCCACUAGGCUACCCUGGA